GUGAAUCAUCAAAUUUUUGAACGCAAAUUGCACUUUCUGGUAUUCCGGAAAGUAUGCCUGUUUGAGGGUCAGUUAAUUAAAAAUCGGUGUUGUUGCUGCUUUUCGUGGUGACGUGUCGGAAUUGAGUUGUCUUAUUGUCGGUUAAGUGUCUUAAAAUUUUGCGUGAUUUUUGAACGUAUUUAAAUUUAUUACGUAAGUUUGCGA
Molecule: unclassified non-coding RNA, 204 nt
Filed under: Glomeraceae sp.
Lineage: Eukaryota; Fungi; Glomeromycota; Glomeromycetes; Glomerales; Glomeraceae
Description: partial contains 5.8S ribosomal RNA and internal transcribed spacer 2
Rfam family: 5.8S ribosomal RNA (bases 1-71)
Source: RNAcentral